UACGGGGGGAGCAAGCGUUGUUCGGAUUUACUGGGCGUAAAGGGCGCGUAGGCGGCCACCGCAAGUCAGUUGUGAAAUCUCUGGGCUUAACCCAGAACGGUCAGCUGAUACUGCGGGGCUAGAGUGCAGAAGGGGCAACUGGAAUUCUCGGUGUAGCGGUGGAAUGCGCAGAUAUCAGGAGGAACACCAAUAGCGAAGGCAGCUCGCUGGGACGUUACUGACACUGAGGCGCGAAAGCGUGGGGAGCGAACAGG
RNAcentral lists this ribosomal RNA (254 nucleotides) under uncultured bacterium. RNAcentral describes it as "partial 16S ribosomal RNA". It matches the Rfam family "Bacterial small subunit ribosomal RNA", at positions 524 to 776 of the family's 1533-position model. The record is from RNAcentral.